AUUGAACGCUGGCGGUAUGCUUUACACAUGCAAGUCGAACGGUAGAGGGGGCAACCCCUUGAGAGUGGCGAACGGGUGAGUAAUAUAUCGGAACGUGCCCAGUCGUGGGGAUAACGUAGCGAAAGUUACGCUAAUACCGCAUACGAUCUAAGGAUGAAAGCGGGGGACUCGCAAGAGCCUCGCGCGAUUGGAGCGGCCGAUAUCAGAUUAGGUAGUUGGUGAGGUAAAGGCUCACCAAGCCGACGAUCUGUAGCUGGUCUGAGAGGACGACCAGCCACACUGGGACUGAGACACGGCCCAGACUCCUACGGGAGGCAGCAGUGGGGAAUAUUGGACAAGUGGGCGCAAGCCUGAUCCAGCCAUGCCGCGUGAGUGAUGAA
This 380-nucleotide ribosomal RNA is filed under the name uncultured bacterium. RNAcentral's name for it is "bacterial SSU rRNA". It matches the Rfam family "Bacterial small subunit ribosomal RNA", at positions 30 to 412 of the family's 1533-position model. The record is from RNAcentral.